RNAcentral lists this long non-coding RNA (789 nucleotides) under Homo sapiens (human). RNAcentral's name for it is "HSALNT0256776". The record is from RNAcentral. Lineage: Eukaryota; Metazoa; Chordata; Mammalia; Primates; Hominidae.
CUCCUGUGGAAGGGAAGGAUUGCCGGGGCUGUGUCACCAGCACCUGGGACAAGGUCUCCGAACGAGGACCCUGAAGAGAAGGCUAUGCAGGGGGACGGGCCGCUGCCUGGCUCAGGGCUUCCCUCUGGUUUCUUCACGGUCCACAGAUGCUACCCGGAGCCUUUCUCGAAAGCGCUGACUCAGUGUCUCAGGUGCGCGCCCGAGGAGUGGCAAACCCGGCCUGGCUCAGAAAGGGGGCAGGAGCCUCGUGAGAAUCUUCCAUGAGCAUCUUCCGAGGGGAUUCCUGUCCUGUCUUCUCUGUGUGAACGCCAGUGUGGACAGAUGAGGAUAGAUGAUGGAGUCCAGGCCACCCAGGAGGGGGUGAUGGGGACCAUGCGUGGCCCCUGCCUGGGACUUCCCUCCCCACACACCCCUUGGCAUUAACGUCUCCACAGAGGGGAGAGGGUUAUAGGACAACCUGGUGUGGGGGGCGCCGGGGACUCUCAAGAGCCCCCACUGUCCAGAUGCUGGUCUUGCCUUUUGUAAAAGGACAUCAGUGCCUCACUGUGCCGCUGACACCUGGUGAGAACUCUCAAAAGGAAGCUUCCCUUACGGGAACGGGGAUUUCCUGAGAGUCCAGCGAUGGACAGAGGGCAGGAGACCCGCUAGGUGCACCCAGAAGCUCAAAAGGAACAGUGGAUGUGCAGUGUGUAGUUUUAUUUGUUUUUAUUUCCAUAACACAAGAGAGGAAGCGAAGGGCCAGGGCCCGAGGCAUCCCCUGCACGGUUCGAAGGCUUUCAACCGUCCCGG